UGACAAUGCUUGCUAACAAUCGGUAUUCUG
RNAcentral lists this non-coding RNA (30 nucleotides) under Mus musculus (house mouse). The record is from RNAcentral. Lineage: Eukaryota; Metazoa; Chordata; Mammalia; Rodentia; Muridae.